CGAGCGCGCCCCCGCGGCGCGCGUCACGCAUCAGACCUCUAAUCGGGAAAGACUACCCGCUGAGUUUAA
RNAcentral lists this ribosomal RNA (69 nucleotides) under Pinnatella kuehliana. Its description in RNAcentral is "partial 26S ribosomal RNA". The record is from RNAcentral. Lineage: Eukaryota; Viridiplantae; Streptophyta; Bryopsida; Hypnales; Neckeraceae.